UUGAAUUACAUACAUAUAUAUACAUAUGUAUAUGUACACUCUCUUCAACAUUUCGUGCAUGCUGCUUAUCGAUUUAUAUACUAUAUAUAUAUAACAGUAACACUGAAUGGCCUACAGAUCACAUAUUUAAACCCAAAAUCCGCCUAAAAUAACGAACAAACAGGCAGUUGGCAAAAAUGCACGGUAUGAUCGGAAAAUAACAAACGGAAUCAAUGUGAAUGGAAAAGCGUAGACAUUUUAUUUGUUGACCGUCAAUCACCUCAAAGUACAGAACGACGGAAAAAAUGGCGCGUUGUGUGAAGAAGCGAGGUGAAAGCUCUCUAGAGGCUAAUAUACACGCACUGUAUGUUAUAAUUUUGCUUGGAUUACACAGUUCACACUGAUUUCGUAUGCUAAAUAGACAUAUUUCAAAUUUUUUUUAUUUAAAUUUAAAUUUAUACUUUUACAUAUAUUUAUAUAUAUAUGUAUAUAUGUAUGUACGCAUGUACUUUUUUGCUUUUGGAAGCACAAGUAAACGAAACCGUACCAGAAUAAGCGCAAAAGCAGGCGGCCACGACAAUGACGAGCACAGUACUGACUGAAUGUUUUCACAAAUUGAAAAUCGCUACACGACAAUAAGGAAUCAAAAUCAGCAACGACAAUGAAAAUUACAAGUAGUAGCCAAAUAAAAAUACCUCUAUGUGGAUUAUUUAAACAAAGAAGACGGCGAAGCGAUAACGCAACUGGAAUGGCGAUAAAUAAAGCUACGAUUGUAUUAUCGCGGUGACAAUGACGGUAGCGACUGCGAGCACAACAUUCGCGAACGACCACAAAAAAGCGACUAAUCAAGACCAAAAAUGCUAUAUAGUGAACAGCCAUCGAUACUCACAUAUUGCCACUAGCUAGCGGUGGCUGGCGUAAAGGCCACAAGCUCGGGCUUGCAAGUGAUUAGCGAGCAGCAAAGGUAGAACACUGAAAAGCGAACAAGCAAGGUAAAGAGCAAAUAAUCCGCAAUGUACUCAUUGGGGAUCGGCUGAUGGAAAGCGAGAGAAAUGCCAGAACUUUGUCAUCAUAGCCAAAGCUGCGCAGUGCGGUAUUUACAUAUUUGUGUUAAAUAUGUGUUUUACUCUACUCUAUUAAACACCAGUUAUUUUCAAAAUUCAGUUAAUUAUAAAAUUUAUGCUUUUAAUUAAUAUGUACGUAUGUAUAUAAGUUAAAUACAAAAAAUACAUUUGUUUGUUGUAAUUCAUUAUCAGUACGGAUCAUUACAAAUCUGUUACAUUAUCACUCAAAAAAUAAUUGAAAUCGAAAUGAGAAAUUUGUCGCGUCAAUAUGACGACUACGUCCACUAGUAUUUUCACAAUUCAUACCACAUACGAACAAAUAACUAGUUGACCGGUCACCACAACUAUAGCAAUAACGUAUACUACUUUGGAAUAAGCCUUAACACAAUAAACAGGCACGUGUAAACCUAUUCCACACUCCAUAUAUACAUACAUACAUGUGUCUGAUGUAGACAAUAACGACGAAAGGCGUCGGCGCCAAGAAUGUUUCAUGUAUGGCAAACUUUAAUUCGGUGCGCGAAAAUUUACG
Molecule: non-coding RNA, 1572 nt
Organism: Bactrocera oleae (olive fruit fly)
Lineage: Eukaryota; Metazoa; Arthropoda; Insecta; Diptera; Tephritidae
Source: RefSeq, a predicted model, not a curated record